This 497-nucleotide ribosomal RNA is filed under the name uncultured bacterium. Its description in RNAcentral is "partial 16S ribosomal RNA". It matches the Rfam family "Bacterial small subunit ribosomal RNA", at positions 28 to 507 of the family's 1533-position model. The record is from RNAcentral.
GAUGAACGCUGGCGGCGUGCCUAAUACAUGCAAGUCGAGCGAACAGAUGAGGAGCUUGCUCCUCUGACGUUAGCGGCGGACGGGUGAGUAACACGUGGAUAACCUACCUAUAAGACUGGGAUAACUUCGGGAAACAGGAGCUAAUACCGGAUAAUAUAUUGAACCGCAUGGUUCAAUAGUGAAAGACGGUUUUGCUGUCACUUAUAGAUGGAUCCGCGCCGCAUUAGCUAGUUGGUAAGGUAACGGCUUACCAAGGCAACGAUGCGUAGCCGACCUGAGAGGGUGAUCGGCCACACUGGAACUGAGACACGGUCCAGACUCCUGCGGGAGGCAGCAGUAGGGAAUCUUCCGCAAUGGGCGAAAGCCUGACGGAGCAACGCCGCGUGAGUGAUGAAGGUCUUCGGAUCGUAAAACUCUGUUAUUAGGGAAGAACAAAUGUGUAAGUAACUAUGCACGUCUUGACGGUACCUAAUCAGAAAGCCACGGCUAACUACGUG